Molecule: small nuclear RNA, 163 nt
Filed under: Suricata suricatta (meerkat)
Lineage: Eukaryota; Metazoa; Chordata; Mammalia; Carnivora; Herpestidae
Description: U2 spliceosomal RNA (ENSSSUG00005016351.1)
Rfam family: U2 spliceosomal RNA
About the family: U2 is a small nuclear RNA (snRNA) component of the spliceosome (involved in pre-mRNA splicing). Complementary binding between U2 snRNA (in an area lying towards the 5' end but 3' to hairpin I) and the branchpoint sequence (BPS) of the intron results the bulging out of an unpaired adenosine, on the BPS, which initiates a nucleophilic attack at the intronic 5' splice site, thus starting the first of two transesterification reactions that mediate splicing.
Source: Rfam by way of RNAcentral
AACGCUUCUCAGCCUUUUGACUAAGAUCAAGUGUAGUAUCUGUUCUUAUCAGUUUAAAAAUUCUACCCCUAGGAUUACCUGGCUGACUCAGUCAAAGAGCAUGCAAGUCUUGAUCUUGGGGUUGUGAAUUUGAGCCCCAUGUUGCGCAUAGAGCAUACUUUUA